Molecule: ribosomal RNA, 450 nt
Filed under: uncultured bacterium
Lineage: Bacteria
Description: partial 16S ribosomal RNA
Rfam family: Bacterial small subunit ribosomal RNA
Source: RNAcentral
GUGGGGAAUUUUGGACAAUGGGCGCAAGCCUGAUCCAGCAAUGCCGCGUGCAGGAAGAAGGCCUUCGGGUUGUAAACUGCUUUUGUACGGAACGAAACGGUCCUGGUUAAUACCUGGGGCUAAUGACGGUACCGUAAGAAUAAGCACCGGCUAACUACGUGCCAGCAGCCGCGGUAAUACGUAGGGUGCGAGCGUUAAUCGGCAUUACUGGGCGUAAAGCGUGCGCAGGCGGUGCUGUAAGACAGGCGUGAAAUACCCGGGCUCAACCUGGGAAUUGCGCUUGUGACUGCAGUGCUGGAGUGCGGCAGAGGGGGAUGGAAUUCCGCGUGUAGCAGUGAAAUGCGUAGAUAUGCGGAGGAACACCGAUGGCGAAGGCAAUCCCCUGGGCCUGCACUGACGCUCAUGCACGAAAGCGUGGGGAGCAAACAGGAUUAGAAACCCGUGUAGUCC